AUACGUAGGGGGCGAGCGUUGUCCGGAAUGAUUGGGCGUAAAGGGCGCGUAGGCGGCCCGGUAAGUCUGGAGUGAAAGUCCUGUUUUUAAGAUGGGAAUUGCUUUGGAUACUGUCGGGCUUGAGUGCAGGAGAGGUAAGUGGAAUUCCCAGGGUAGCGGUGAAAUGCGUAGAGAUUGGGAGGAACACCAGUGGCGAAGGCGACUUACUGGACUGUAACUGACGCUGAGGCGCGAAAGAGUGGGGAGCAAACAGGAUUAGAUACCCUGGUAGUCCACACUGUAAACGAUGAAUGCUAGGUGUAGGGGGUAGCGACCCCUUCUGUGCCGCAGUCAACACAAUAAGCAUUCCGCCUGGGGAGUACGGCCGCAAGGUUGAAACUUAAAGGAAUUGACGGGG
Molecule: ribosomal RNA, 397 nt
Filed under: uncultured bacterium
Lineage: Bacteria
Description: partial 16S ribosomal RNA
Rfam family: Bacterial small subunit ribosomal RNA
Source: RNAcentral